RNAcentral lists this ribosomal RNA (498 nucleotides) under Triticum aestivum (bread wheat). Its description in RNAcentral is "partial small subunit ribosomal RNA". The record is from RNAcentral. Lineage: Eukaryota; Viridiplantae; Streptophyta; Magnoliopsida; Poales; Poaceae.
AUGCUGAAGAAGUUAGAGGAAUGGACUAACAGAAUACAAGGAAAUAAAUAUUUCUCUAAAUUCGACUUAAACGCAAGAUUUUGGCAAGUAAAAAUGGCUGAAGAAUCUAUUCCUUGGACAACAUUUACUUGUCCACAAGGCCACUAUGAAUGGCUAGUUAUGCCAUUAGGUCUAAAGAAUGCACCUACACUAUUUCAAAGAAAUAUGCAAAAUAUAUUCAAUGAGAAUCAAGCAUUUAUAUUGGUAUAUGUAGAUGAUUUGUUAGUAUUCUCAAAAUCAUACAAAGAGCAUAUAGCCCAUCUUGAAGUGUUCUUUAGAAAGGUAGACCAAAAUGGACUCAUACUAUCCAAAAAGAAGAUGGAAAUUUGCAAAGAAAAAAUAAAUUUCCUUGGUCAUGAAAUAGGAGAAGGAAAGAUAUAUCUACAAGAACAUAUUGCAAAGAAAAUAUUAGAGUUUCCUGAUAAUAUGAGUGAUAAAAGGUUUUACAGCAGAUCUUAG